CAAUAUAAGUGAUGGCGACCGGCGCACGGGUGAGUAACACGUAUCCAACCUGCCGAUAACUUGGGGAUAGCCUUUCGAAAGAAAGAUUAAUACCCGAUGGUAUAAUAAAACCGCAUGGUUUAAUUAUUAAAGAAUUUCGGUUAUCGAUGGGGAUGCGUUCCAUUAGGCAGUUGGUGAGGUAACGGCUCACCAAACCUUCGAUGGAUAGGGGUUCUGAGAGGAAGGUCCCCCACAUUGGAACUGAGACACGGUCCAA
RNAcentral lists this ribosomal RNA (256 nucleotides) under uncultured bacterium. Its description in RNAcentral is "partial 16S ribosomal RNA". It matches the Rfam family "Bacterial small subunit ribosomal RNA", at positions 74 to 334 of the family's 1533-position model. The record is from RNAcentral.